RNAcentral lists this ribosomal RNA (497 nucleotides) under uncultured bacterium. Its description in RNAcentral is "bacterial SSU rRNA". It matches the Rfam family "Bacterial small subunit ribosomal RNA", at positions 28 to 526 of the family's 1533-position model. The record is from RNAcentral.
GAUGAACGCUGGCGGCGUGCCUAACACAUGCAAGUCGAACGAAGCCUUCUGUGAAACUCUUCGGAGGGAAGCAGAAGGACUGAGUGGCGGACGGGUGAGUAACGCGUGGGUAACCUACCCAGUACUGGGGGAUAACAACCGGAAACGGUUGCUAACACCGCAUACGUUUGUUUUGUCGCAUGGCAGAACAAAGAAAAACUUGUAGGUAUUGGAUGGACCCGCGUCUGAUUAGCUGGUUGGUAAGGUAACGGCUUACCAAGGCGACGAUCAGUAGCCGGCUUGAGAGAGCGGACGGCCACAUUGGGACUGAGACACGGCCCAGACUCCUGCGGGAGGCAGCAGUGGGGAAUAUUGCACAAUGGGGGAAACCCUGAUGCAGCGACGCCGCGUGGGUGAAGAAGUAUUUCGGUAUGUAAAGCCCUAUCAGCAGGGAAGAAGAAAGACGGUACCUGACUAAGAAGCCCCGGCUAACUACGUGCCAGCAGCCGCCGUAACAC